Molecule: long non-coding RNA, 317 nt
Filed under: Elaeis guineensis (African oil palm)
Lineage: Eukaryota; Viridiplantae; Streptophyta; Magnoliopsida; Arecales; Arecaceae
Description: long non-coding RNA (EGUI_LNC070243)
Source: RNAcentral
AUUUCUGUAGGCCUUCUGGCCAAAAAUGAUUAUGAAAUUUCAAUUAAGAAAUAAGUUUGUAAUAUCAUUAUGAAUGGUGUUACUAUUUUUUGUGGAUAUUUGAACAAUGGUGUGUAUAUGUUAUCACAACCUGUUAAUGUAGUCUAUUCAACUGGCAAGCACCCUAGAUUAGAUAGUGUGUCAGAUAUCUACUUAUGGCACUGUAGGCUAGGUCAUAUAAACAAGAAUAGAAUAAACAGGUUGACUCAAGAGGAAAUCCUCGAAGUCAGUGAUUGUGAAUCACUUCCAACCUGUGAGUCCUGUCUUCUUGAUAAAAU